This 1139-nucleotide ribosomal RNA is filed under the name Vibrionaceae bacterium BS1. Its description in RNAcentral is "16S ribosomal RNA". It matches the Rfam family "Bacterial small subunit ribosomal RNA". The record is from RNAcentral. Lineage: Bacteria; Pseudomonadati; Pseudomonadota; Gammaproteobacteria; Vibrionales; Vibrionaceae.
GGCGCAGAUACACAUGCAGUCGAGCGGAACGAGUUGUCUGACCUUCGGGGACGAUAACGGCGUCGAGCGGCGGACGGGUGAGUAAUGCCUGGGAAUUGCCCUGAUGUGGGGGAUAACCAUUGGAACGAUGGCUAAUACCGCAUAAUAGCUUCGGCUCAAGAGGGGGACCUUCGGGCCUCUCGCGUCAGGAUAUGCCCAGGUGGGAUUAGCUAGUUGGUGAGGUAAUGGCUCACCAAGGCGACGAUCCCUAGCUGGUCUGAGAGGAUGAUCAGCCACACUGGAACUGAGACACGGUCCAGACUCCUACGGGAGGCAGCAGUGGGGGAAUAUUGCACAAUGGGCGCAAGCCUGAUGCAGCCAUGCCGCGUGUAUGAAGAAAGCCUUCGGGUUGUAAAGUACUUUCAGCAGUGAGGAAGGUGGGUGCGUUAAUAGCGCAUGUGGCAUUUGAGCCGUUAGCUUUGCAGAAGAAGCUAACGCGCUAAAUCCGUAGCCACCAGCCUGCGGGAAUACGGAGGGUGCGAGCAAGAUUAAACCUCAAAUGAAUUGACGGGGGCCCGCACAAGCGCAUGCAGCAUGUGUUUGUAAAUGUCAGAUGCGAAAGCCCGAAGACCUCAACCUACUCGUGACAUCCAGAGAACUUUCCAGAGACUGGAUUGAUGACUACGAGAACUCUGAGACAGGUGCUGCAUGGCUAGAAUCGUCAGCUCGUAGCGGUGAAAUGCGUAGAGAUCUGAAGGAAUACCCGCAACGAGCGGGCAACCCUGGAUCAUUGAUACUGCCAGCACUUCAGAUGCGAAGCGUCCAGGGAGACAACAGAUAGAUAAACCGGAGGAAGGUCGGGACGACGUCAAGUCAUCAUGGCCCUUACUGUAGUAGUGGCUACACACGUGCUACAAUCGGAGCAUACAGAGGGCAGCCAACUUGCGAAAGUGAGCGAAUCCCAAAAAGUGCGUCGUAGUCCGGAUUGGAGUCUGCAACUCGACUCCAUGAAGUCGGAAUCGCUAGUAAUCGUAGAUCAGAAUGCCACGGUGAAUACGUUCCCGGGCCUUGUACACACCGCCCGUCACACCAUGGGAGUGGGCUGCAAAAGAAGUGGGUAGUUAACCUUCGGGGGACGCUCACCACUUGGGUACUUAUUG